GGUUUCUGCUAAGUCGCAAGACGAUGUAUAGGAGCUGACGCCUGCCCGGUGCUGGAAGGUUAAGGGGAUCUGUUAGAGCAAUCGAAGCAGUGAACUUAAGCCCCAGUAAACGGCGGCCGUAACUAUAACGGUCCUAAGGUAGCGAAAUUCCUUGUCGGGUAAGUUCCGACCCGCACGAAAGGCGUAACGAUUUGGGCACUGUCUCAACAACAGACUCGGUGAAAUUGUAAUUCCGGUGAAGAUGCCGGAUACCUGCGACAGGACGGAAAGACCCCAUGGAGCUUUACUGUAGCUUGACAUUGGGUCUUGGUACUACAUGUACAGGAUAGGUGGGAGGCUUUGAAACCAGGACGCCAGUUUUGG
RNAcentral lists this ribosomal RNA (363 nucleotides) under Clostridioides difficile. RNAcentral describes it as "partial 23S ribosomal RNA". It matches the Rfam family "Bacterial large subunit ribosomal RNA", at positions 1818 to 2180 of the family's 2925-position model. The record is from RNAcentral. Lineage: Bacteria; Bacillati; Bacillota; Clostridia; Peptostreptococcales; Peptostreptococcaceae.